UUUACCUACGGGAGGCAGCAGUGGGGAAUAUUGGGCAAUGGGCGCAAGCCUGACCCAGCAACGCCGCGUGAAGGAAGAAGGCUUUCGGGUUGUAAACUUCUUUUCUCAGGGACGAAGCAAGUGGCGGUACCUGAGGAAUAAGCCACGGCUAACUACGUGCCAGCAGCCGCGGUAAUACGUAGGUGGCAAGCGUUAUCCGGAUUUACUGGGUGUAAAGGGCGGGUAGGCGGGGAAGCAAGUCAGAUGUGAAAACCAUGGGCUCAAACUGGGGCCUGCAUUUGAAACUGUUUUUCUUGGGUAAUGGG
RNAcentral lists this ribosomal RNA (305 nucleotides) under uncultured bacterium. Its description in RNAcentral is "bacterial SSU rRNA". It matches the Rfam family "Bacterial small subunit ribosomal RNA", at positions 334 to 653 of the family's 1533-position model. The record is from RNAcentral.